RNAcentral lists this ribosomal RNA (467 nucleotides) under uncultured bacterium. RNAcentral's name for it is "partial 16S ribosomal RNA". It matches the Rfam family "Bacterial small subunit ribosomal RNA", at positions 28 to 506 of the family's 1533-position model. The record is from RNAcentral.
GACGAACGCUGGCGGCGUGCUUAACACAUGCAAGUCGAACGGAAAGGCCCUGCUUUUGUGGGGUGCUCGAGUGGCGAACGGGUGAGUAACACGUGAGUAACCUGCCCUUGACUUUGGGAUAACUUCAGGAAACUGGGGCUAAUACCGGAUAGGAGCUCCUGCUGCAUGGUGGGGGUUGGAAAGUUUCGGCGGUUGGGGAUGGACUCGCGGCUUAUCAGCUUGUUGGUGGGGUAGUGGCUUACCAAGGCUUUGACGGGUAGCCGGCCUGAGAGGGUGACCGGCCACAUUGGGACUGAGAUACGGCCCAGACUCAUACGGGAGGCAGCAGUGGGGAAUAUUGCACAAUGGGCGGAAGCCUGAUGCAGCAACGCCGCGUGCGGGAUGACGGCCUUCGGGUUGUAAACAGCUUUCGCCUGUGACGAAGCGUGAGUGACGGUAAUGGGGAAAGAAGCACCGGCUAACUACGU